Molecule: ribosomal RNA, 1306 nt
Filed under: uncultured bacterium
Lineage: Bacteria
Description: bacterial SSU rRNA
Rfam family: Bacterial small subunit ribosomal RNA
Source: RNAcentral
AACGUACGCUGGCGGCACGCCUAACACAUGCAAGUCGAACGAAGUAGCAAUACUUAGUGGCAGACGGGUGAGUAACAUGUAGGUAUCUGCCCUUUGGCCUGGAAUAACACGAGGAAACUUGUGCUAAUACCGGAUAAGUCUUUACGGAGAAAGCUUUAUGCACCAUUGGAUGAGCCUGCACUUGAUUAGUUUGUUGGUGGGGUAAUGGCCUACCAAGACUGUGAUCAAUAGCUGAUUUGAGAGGAUGAUCAGCCACAUUGGGACUGAGACACGGCCCAAACUCCUACGGGAGGCAGCAGUGGGGAAUCUUGCACAAUGGAGGAAACUCUGAUGCAGCGAUGCCGCGUGAAUGAAGAAGGCCCUUGGGUUGUAAAGCUCUUUCGUCGGGGAAGAAAAUGACUGUACCCGAAUAAGAAGGUCCGGCUAACUUCGUGCCAGCAGCCGCGGUAAUACGAAGGGACCUAGCGUAGUUCGGAAUUACUGGGCUUAAAGAGUUCGUAGGUGGUUGAAAAAGUUAGUGGUGAAAUCCCAGAGCUUAACUCUGGAACUGCCAUUAAAACUUUUCAGCUAGAGUAUGAUAGAGGAAAGCAGAAUUUCUAGUGUAGAGGUGAAAUUCGUAGAUAUUAGAAAGAAUACCAAUUGCGAAGGCAGCUUUCUGGAUCAUUACUGACACUGAGGAACGAAAGCAUGGGUAGCGAAGAGGAUUAGAUACCCUCGUAGUCCAUGCCGUAAACGAUGUGUGUUAGACGUUGGAAAUUUAUUUUCAGUGUCGCAGGGAAACCGAUAAACACACCGCCUGGGGAGUACGACCGCAAGGUUAAAACUCAAAUGAAUUGACGGGGACCCGCACAAGUAGUGGAGCAUGUGGUUUAAUUCGAAGAUACGCGCAGAACCUUACCAACACUUGACAUGUUCGUCGCGACUCUAAGAGAUUAGAGUUUUCGGUUCGGCCGGACGAAACACAGGUGCUGCAUGGCUGUCGUCAGCUCGUGUCGUGAGAUGUUGGGUUAAGUCCCGCAACGAGCGCAACCCUCACUUUUAGUUGCCAUCAUUAAGUUGGGCACUCUGAAAGAACUGCCAGUGAUAAGCUGGAGGAAGGUGGGGAUGACGUCAAGUCCUCAUGGCCCUUACGUGUUGGGCUACACACGUGCUACAAUGGUAUCUACAACAGGAAGCAAGACUGCGAAGUUAAGCAAAUCCCUAAAAGAUACCUCAGUUCGGAUUGCACUCUGCAGCUCGAGUGCAUGAAGCUGGAAUUACUAGUAAUCGUGGAUCAGCGUGCCACGGUGAAUGCGUUCCCGGGUCU